CUACUCACUAGUUACAGUCAAACUCAAAAGACAGAACUUAGGUUCACCUUAAGUUGAACCUUUAAAUUCACCUCAUCUUUUAUGAUCAAUCAAAUUUCCACAUAGAUUAUUAAUUAAAAAACAUUAAAUUAAAUAAAAAAUAGCUACAAAAAAUAAAAACGUUAAUUUUAACGACGCUAACGCUUCCACCUAAACUCUAAACCCUAAAUCUUAAAUUCUAAACCCUAUACCCUAAAUUCUAAACCUAAAUCCAAACUCCUAAACCCAAACCCUAUACCUUAAACCCUA
RNAcentral lists this long non-coding RNA (288 nucleotides) under Brassica napus (rape). Its description in RNAcentral is "long non-coding RNA (BNAP_LNC003066)". The record is from RNAcentral. Lineage: Eukaryota; Viridiplantae; Streptophyta; Magnoliopsida; Brassicales; Brassicaceae.